CCGUAGUUAAGCUCAGUAGGGCGCGGUUAGUACUUGGAUGGGUGACCGCCUGGGAAUACCGUGUGCUGUAGGCA
RNAcentral lists this ribosomal RNA (74 nucleotides) under Nematostella vectensis (starlet sea anemone). The record is from RNAcentral. Lineage: Eukaryota; Metazoa; Cnidaria; Anthozoa; Actiniaria; Edwardsiidae.